AUGCCUUAGUACGGCGAGUGAGCGGCAAAAGCUCAAAUUUGAAAUCGGCCACCAGGUCGAGUUGUAAUUUGUAGAUUGUAUCUUGAGAGCGGAUUAAAGUCUGUUGGAACACAGCGCCUUAGAGGGUGACAGCCCCGUAAAAUCUAUUCUCAUUGUAAGAUACUUUCGAAGAGUCGAGUUGUUUGGGAAUGCAGCUCUAAGUGGGAGGUACUUAGUACGGCGAGUGAGCGGCAAAAGCUCAAAUUUGAAAUCGGCCACCAGGUCGAGUUGUAAUUUGUA
RNAcentral lists this ribosomal RNA (279 nucleotides) under Geotrichum candidum. Its description in RNAcentral is "partial large subunit ribosomal RNA". It matches the Rfam family "Eukaryotic large subunit ribosomal RNA", at positions 73 to 368 of the family's 3401-position model. The record is from RNAcentral. Lineage: Eukaryota; Fungi; Ascomycota; Dipodascomycetes; Dipodascales; Dipodascaceae.